RNAcentral lists this ribosomal RNA (456 nucleotides) under uncultured bacterium. RNAcentral's name for it is "bacterial SSU rRNA". It matches the Rfam family "Bacterial small subunit ribosomal RNA", at positions 71 to 524 of the family's 1533-position model. The record is from RNAcentral.
ACAGGGUCUUCGGACGCUGACGAGUGGCGAACGGGUGAGUAAUACAUCGGAACGUGCCCAGUCGUGGGGGAUAACUACUCGAAAGAGUAGCUAAUACCGCAUACGAUCUGAGGAUGAAAGCGGGGGACCUUCGGGCCUCGCGCGAUUGGAGCGGCCGAUGGCAGAUUAGGUAGUUGGUGGGAUAAAAGCUUACCAAGCCGACGAUCUGUAGCUGGUCUGAGAGGACGACCAGCCACACUGGGACUGAGACACGGCCCAGACUCCUACGGGAGGCAGCAGUGGGGAAUUUUGGACAAUGGGCGAAAGCCUGAUCCAGCAAUGCCGCGUGCAGGAUGAAGGCCUUCGGGUUGUAAACUGCUUUUGUACGGAACGAAAAAGCUUCUCCUAAUACGAGAGGCCCAUGACGGUACCGUAAGAAUAAGCACCGGCUAACUACGUGCCAGCAGCCGCGGUAAU